CCUGUCCCGAACUACGUCGACUCUGAUGUCUGUGCCUGACAGACUACGUAGGCCCAGGAUGCGAUAUCCUGCCGAGUUAGUUUCUUUUGUCCGUCUGUGUUUCCUUCCAGCCUUGUGUGGUGUUUGAGCAGUUUUUUAGCAACCUUAUCCUUUCUUUCUGAGCGUGGAUCCCGUCGAGUACGACGGAUGCGUAGGGGUGCUAAUACCUUCCCUUCGCAUAACCGACUCCCGAUCCCAU
RNAcentral lists this long non-coding RNA (238 nucleotides) under Lathyrus oleraceus (garden pea). RNAcentral's name for it is "Pisum sativum (pea) long non-coding RNA (PSAT_LNC027458)". Lineage: Eukaryota; Viridiplantae; Streptophyta; Magnoliopsida; Fabales; Fabaceae. The record is from RNAcentral.